Molecule: non-coding RNA, 29 nt
Filed under: Rattus norvegicus (Norway rat)
Lineage: Eukaryota; Metazoa; Chordata; Mammalia; Rodentia; Muridae
Source: RNAcentral
UGAGUGUGGAUGGGCUUUGUCCAAGGUUC